This is a long non-coding RNA of Lycium ferocissimum, 382 nucleotides long. RefSeq lists it as uncharacterized. The transcript has 2 exons. The record is from RefSeq and is a predicted model, not a curated record. NCBI's taxonomy places the organism in Eukaryota, Viridiplantae, Streptophyta, Magnoliopsida, Solanales, Solanaceae.
GUGUCCAUGGGAAUUAAAGAAUACAAUCCCUAGUGCUAAAAAUAAAAUAAGGUAACAAAUUUGGACAACUCACCCAACUUCAUACCAUAUGAGACAAACGAUGGGGAAAUGCAUGUGAAGUUUCCCUCAAUUGUUUUUUCAUGGGUUCAUGUGGGGAGUGGUGGGGCAAUAAUAUAUUCCUCUUUUUGGAUUAGGCUUUUACUCGAGCAGAUUCAAGAAUACUUAAAUGACCACAUUGAUGCAAUCAUUUGCAAAGGUCAGAAUUUCACAUGGAGGCAUUUUCACGUCGUUAUUACCUUUGGAAGAUACUAAGAGAGGCGGCACGAAAAACAACAGAUGGAGGCGUUUCUCGAAUUCACAUCCAACAGUAUUAUUCAAACCU